CGAAUGGCUCAUUAAAUCACACCUAAUAUACUGGAUAUUAAUCAGUUACUUGGAUAACUGCGGUAAUUCUGGAGCUAAUACAUGCACUCAAGCCCUGAACCUCGUGUGAAGGGCGCUUUUAUUAGAUCAAAGCCAAACGCUUUCUUCGGACGGCGUCUUUUUGGUGACUCUGAAUAACCUUUAGCGGAUCGCAUGGCUUUAUGCCGGCGACGUGUCCUUCUAAGGUGUGCCCUAUCAACUGUCGACUGUGGUAUAGUCGACCACAGUGGUUUUGACGGGUAACGGGGAAUUAGGGUUCGAUUCCGGAGAGGGAGCCUGAGAAACGGCUACCACUUCUACGGAAGGCAGCAGGCACGCAAAUUACCCACUGGUCGAAGACCGAGGUAGUGACGAAAAAUAACGAUACCGGACUCAUCCGAGGCCCGGUAAUCGGAAUGAGUACACUUUAAAUCCUUUAACGNGGAACAAUUGGAGGGCAAGUCUGGUGCCAGCAGCCGCGGUAAUUCCAGCUCCAAUAGCGUAUAUUAAAGUUGUUGCGGUCAAAAAGCUCGUAGUUGGAUCUCGCAGGUUGGGGGUGGUUUCAUUAUUUAAUGUUUAACUGCUCCAUGAACUUGUGUUUUUUUUGACAGAGGUUCCAAGGUGCUCUUGAUUGAGUGUCGUGGAAUGCUGUCAGGUUUACUUUGAAAAAAUUAGAGUGCUCAAAGCAGGCUUUACAAGCUUGAAUAUUGGUGCAUGGAAUAAUAGAAUAGGAUGUUGUGUCCUUUUUGUUGGUUGUAGGGAUAUUAACAUAAUGAUUAAUAGGGACAGUCGGGGGCAUUAGUAUUCAGACGACAGAGGUGAAAUUCUUGGACCGUUUGAAGACUAACUACUGCGAAAGCAUUUGCCAAGAAUGUUUUCAUUAAUCAAGAACGAAAGUUAGAGGUUCGAAGGCGAUCAGAUACCGCCCUAGUUCUAACCAUAAACGAUGCCAGCUAGCGAUCCGCUUGUGUUUAUUUAAGGCCCUGCGGGAAGCUUCCGGGAAACCAAAGCUUUUGGGUUCCGGGGGAAGUAUGGUUGCAAAGCUGAAACUUAAAGGAAUUGACGGAAGGGCACCACCAGGAGUGGAGCCUGCGGCUUAAUUUGACUCAACACGGGAAAUCUCACCAGGCCCGGACACCGGAAGGAUUGACAGAUUGAGAGCUCUUUCUCGAUUCGGUGGGUAGUGGUGCAUGGCCGUUCUUAGUUGGUGGAGUGAUUUGUCUGGUUAAUUCCGAUAACGAACGAGACUCUGUCCUGCUAAAUAGUCUCAACGUCUAUCAUUUUACGUUGGAAAUUUAUCUUCUUAGAGGGACUGGCGGCGUCUAGCCGCACGAGAUUGAGCAAUAACAGGUCUGUGAUGCCCUUAGAUGUUCUGGGCCGCACGCGCGCUACACUGAAGAGCUCAACGUGUUUUUCUGUCCUGAGAAGGAUGGUUAACCCUUUGAACCCUCUUCGUGGUAGGGAUCGGGGCUUGCAAUUAUUCCCCGUGAACCAGGAAUUCCCAGUAAGCGCAAGUCAUAAGCUUGCGUUGAUUACGUCCCUGCCCUUUGUACACACCGCCCGUCGCUACUACCGAUUGAACGUUUUAGUGAGGUAUUUGGACUGGGGGCCCGGAGUGUUUUCACUCGGGUGCUUUCCGGAAAGAUUCCCAAACUUGAGCGUUUAGAGGAAGUAAAAGUCGUAACAAGGU
Molecule: ribosomal RNA, 1708 nt
Filed under: Clavellopsis sp. JYW-2010
Lineage: Eukaryota; Metazoa; Arthropoda; Copepoda; Siphonostomatoida; Lernaeopodidae
Description: SSU rRNA
Rfam family: Eukaryotic small subunit ribosomal RNA
Source: RNAcentral